CCUACGGGAGGCAGCAGUGAGGAAUAUUGGUCAAUGGGCGCGAGCCUGAACCAGCCAAGUCGCGUGAAGGAUGACUGCCCUACGGGUUGUAAACUUCUUUUAUAAAGGAAUAAAGUGUGGCACGUGUGCCCUUUUGUAUGUACCUUAUGAAUAAGGAUCGGCUAACUCCGUGCCAGCAGCCGCGGUAAUACGGAGGAUCCGAGCGUUAUCCGGAUUUAUUGGGUUUAAAGGGUGCGUAGGUGGGUUGUUAAGUCAGUUGUGAAAGUUUGCGGCUCAACCGUAAACAUGCAAUUGAUACUGGAGGUCUUAGUUAGAGUUGAGGUAGGCGGAAGUGGUGGUGUAGCGUGGAAAUGCU
This 355-nucleotide ribosomal RNA is filed under the name uncultured bacterium. Its description in RNAcentral is "partial 16S ribosomal RNA". It matches the Rfam family "Bacterial small subunit ribosomal RNA", at positions 338 to 690 of the family's 1533-position model. The record is from RNAcentral.